RNAcentral lists this ribosomal RNA (350 nucleotides) under uncultured microorganism. RNAcentral's name for it is "bacterial SSU rRNA". It matches the Rfam family "Archaeal small subunit ribosomal RNA", at positions 330 to 676 of the family's 1478-position model. The record is from RNAcentral.
GUGCACCAGGCGCGAAUACUUUACAAUGCGGGAAACCGUGAUAAGGGAACCUCGAGUGCUGGCGCAUAGCGUCGGCUGUCCAGAUGCCUAAAAGCAUCUGAUAGUAAGGGCUGGGUAAGACCGGUGCCAGCCGCCGCGGGUAACACCGGCAGCCCAGGUGGUAGCCACUUUUAUUGGGUCUAAAGCGUCCGUAGCCGGUUGAGUAAGUUCCUUGGGGAAAUUUGGCUGGCUCAACAGUCAAGCUUCCAGGGAAUACUGCUCGACUUGGGGACUGGGAGAGGUCAGAGGUACUCCGAGGGGUAGGGGUGAAAUCCAUUAAUCCCUGGGGGACCACCGGUAGCGAAGGCGUC